This is a long non-coding RNA of Corapipo altera (White-ruffed manakin), 100 nucleotides long. RefSeq lists it as uncharacterized. The record is from RefSeq and is a predicted model, not a curated record. The transcript has 3 exons. NCBI's taxonomy places the organism in Eukaryota, Metazoa, Chordata, Aves, Passeriformes, Pipridae.
GGAUAUUAGGAAAAAUUUCUUCACUGAAGGGGUUGAUAAGCAUUGGGACAGGCUGCCCCGGGAAGUGGUGGAAUCACUAUCUGCAGAGGCAUUUAAAAGA